RNAcentral lists this long non-coding RNA (930 nucleotides) under Solanum tuberosum (potato). RNAcentral's name for it is "long non-coding RNA (STUB_LNC005160)". Lineage: Eukaryota; Viridiplantae; Streptophyta; Magnoliopsida; Solanales; Solanaceae. The record is from RNAcentral.
ACAUAAUUAACUUUUUAUAAGUAGUCCAAAUAUAUACAAUACAUUUAAGUCUGGAACAAAUUUUUAGAAACAACUAUAUGAAAUUUGUGUACUUAAUGAAUGAAUCUUGAAUAAAUUGAAACACAUAUAAAAAAUUCAGUGAUUAAAUCAUAAAAAUAGUGUUUGAAUUAAUUACAUAAUUAAAUCUUUAUAAGUAUUACUAAUAUUUACAAUACAUUUAUCACCCCUAAAAUUAGUGUUUGAAUUACAUAAAUAUGCUUAAUAUAUGUAUGCCCAACCAUAAAAAUAGUGUUUGAAUUAACUACAUAAUUAACUUUUUAUAAGUAGUCCUAAUAUAUACAAUACAUUAAAUCUGGAACAAAUUUUAGUAACAACUGUAUGAAAUUUGUGUACUUAAUAAAUGAAUCUUGAAUAAAUUGAAACACAUAUAAAAAAACAAUGGAUUAAACCAUAAAAUUAGUUUUUGAAUUAAUUACAUAAUUAAAUUUUUAUAGGUAUUACUAAUAUAUACAAUACAUUUAAUUAUGAACAAUUUUUAUUAACAACUUUAUGAAUUUUGUGUAUUGAAUGAAUGAAUCUUGUAUAAAUUGAAACACAUAUAAAAAAAUUAAAUUUAUAAGAGUAUGCAUUUUGUAUGAUUACUGAAUGAAUAAACUAAGUUAUGCACAAUGGAUAUUUAGUAAAGAAAUUCAAAUUAACUUUCUUUUGAUCUAAUUAAGAAAACACACACACCAACAUCAUUGUGUAUUCUAACAGGUGGGCAUCGAUCAUCUACUAAAAUUUUUAUCUCUAAAUCAUUUAUAUUAGUAUCUAUCAUAAGCUGCGAUGUUAUCACGCUUACUAGACCACUAUAAAGACUAGAAGAAUCAUAUAAAAACCCUGCCAUUUGAAAAUCCACAUAAUGCCCUGUUUCAUUAAAAAAAAAAAAAA